GCAUAUCAAUAAGCGGAGGAAAAGAAACCAACAGGGAUUGCCCCAGUAACGGCGAGUGAAGCGGCAACAGCUCAAAUUUGAAAUCUGGCCCUCGGGUCCGAGUUGUAAUUUGGAGAGGAUGCUUUUGGCGCGGCGCCGUCCGAGUUCCUUGGAACAGGACGCCAUAGAGGGUGAGAGCCCCGUACGGGCGGCCGCCUAGCCUUUGUAAAGCUCCUUCGACGAGUCGAGUAGUUUGGGAAUGCUGCUCAAAAUGGGAGGUAAAUUUCUUCUAAAGCUAAAUACCGGCCAGAGACCGAUAGCGCACAAGUAGAGUGAUCGAAAGAUGAAAAGCACUUUGAAAAGAGGGUUAAAAAGUACGUGAAAUUGUUGAAAGGGAAGCGCCUGUGACCAGACUUGCGGCCCGUGGAUCAUCCGGUGUUCUUCACCGGUGCACUCCGCGGGCUGCAGGCCAGCAUCGGUUUUCCUAGGGGGAUAAAGGUCGCGGGAACGUAGCUCCCUCGGGAGUGUUAUAGCCCGUGGCGUCAUGCCUCUGGGGGGACCGAGGACCGCGCUUCGGCAAGGAUGCUGGCGUAAUGGUCACCGGCGACCCGUCUUGAAACACGGACCAAGGAGUCAAGCAUUGGGGCGAGUGUCUGGGUGCCAAACCCGCACGCGAAAUGAAAGUAAACGCAGGUGAGAGCUUCGGCGCAUCACCGACCGAUCCUGAUGUUCUCGGAUGGAUUUGAGUAAGAGCCUUACCGCUUGGACCCGAAAGAUGGUGAACUAUGCCUGUAUAGGGUGAAGCCAGAGGAAACUCUGGUGGAGGCUCGCAGCGGUUCUGACGUGCAAAUCGAUCGUCAAAUAUGGGCAUGGGGGCGAAAGACUAAUCGAACCAUCUAGUAGCUGGU
Molecule: ribosomal RNA, 887 nt
Filed under: Ophiostoma perfectum
Lineage: Eukaryota; Fungi; Ascomycota; Sordariomycetes; Ophiostomatales; Ophiostomataceae
Description: LSU rRNA
Rfam family: Eukaryotic large subunit ribosomal RNA
Source: RNAcentral